CUAAGAGAACGCCUCUGUCGUUACCCAACUAGUUUGGAUACGAGAAUGCGUUUGUUGA
RNAcentral lists this small RNA (58 nucleotides) under Lacticaseibacillus manihotivorans DSM 13343 = JCM 12514. RNAcentral's name for it is "Lactobacillus manihotivorans DSM 13343 = JCM 12514 Transposase-1 RNA". It matches the Rfam family "Transposase-1 RNA". Rfam says of the family: Lactobacillales (Firmicutes). The record is from Rfam by way of RNAcentral. Lineage: Bacteria; Bacillati; Bacillota; Bacilli; Lactobacillales; Lactobacillaceae.